RNAcentral lists this long non-coding RNA (2689 nucleotides) under Equus caballus (horse). RNAcentral describes it as "lncRNA (ENSECAG00000048273.1)". The record is from RNAcentral. Lineage: Eukaryota; Metazoa; Chordata; Mammalia; Perissodactyla; Equidae.
CUGCUGGCCCACUGUCCUCAACUCCACAGGCGCCGUCCCGACACAGUGAACUGUCCCAGUUAUUGUUCAGUCACCGUCUGCGAUAUGAGAGAAGAGGGUCAGUGUGCUGUGAGAGUGCUGGGAGGCUGGGAGCUGAAGGUGGAGCUCUUGCCAGGUCAGCCCUUGGGCCCUGCCUUCAGCCUUGCUGUGUUCCCUCAACAUGAUCUGCUCUGUCCUCUUCAGUGAGCGCUGUGACUAUAAGGAAAAAAACAACCCAUGCACGUUCUGAAUUUAACUUCGAGAACCUAGAAGCCACUGCAUUGGGUCUGUUUGGCGCUACACGAGACGAGAUGGUUGCCACUAGGCCGCAGCUCUCGCUGCUGUUCCUGCCGCCGCUGAGGGUGAGGGAGGGUGCUGCCAGGCGGCAGGCGAGGGGAGCUCCGGGGCUGCGCGAGGAGGGGGCUGUGGACUGGCCGGCCCUGGAGCCGGAGACAGACACCCCACUUCUUCAACACAGCUAGUUCCAUGUUUUUGAUCUAUUAGCUUUUCCUGAUUGAAAAGGUAAUUAAUACAGGUCCAUCGUACAAAAAUUGGAAUAGGGGGCCGGCUCUGUGGCCGAGAGGUUAAGUUCUCGCGCUCCGCUGUGGCGGCCCAGGGUUCGGAUCCUGGGCGUGGACAUGGCACCGCUCGUCAGGCCAUACUGAGGCAACAUCCCACAUGCCACAACUAGAAGGACCUGCAAUUAAGAUAUACAACUAUGUAUGGAGGGGUUUGGGGAAGUAAAGCCGAAAAAAAAAAAAAAAAAGAUUGGCAACAGUUGUUAGCUCAGGUGCCAAUCUUUAAAAAAAAAAUUGGAAUAUAUGGGAAAUUGUGAAGACAACAUUUUUUAAAAUGUACUAGUAAUCCUAUCAUUUAAAUAAAAAUUCCUCUACUUUUGGACAGUCUCCUGCCCACCCCCUUUCUGUGUGUAUAUGCACAGCAAUAUUGGAAUUGCACUACAUUGUAACUUUAUUUUUUCACUUAGUAAUAUAUCAAGGGCUUGUUUGCACAUUAUUAAACAUUCUAUCAAAGAAUUAUUUUAAUUUAGCACAAAGUUUUUCAUACUGUAGACACACCAUAAUUUAUUUAACCAAUCCCUUAUUUGGGAGAACUUUAAUUGUUUUAAAUGUUUUGCAAUCACACAUAAUUCAAAAAAGAUCAUUCUACUGGAAAUUUUAAAUUAAGGCUUUAGGAUAAAUUUCUAGAAAUUGAAUUGAUAUGUCAAUGGUACUGAACAGCUUCAAGACUGUGAUCACUACUCCUAAAUUUUGAAGUGUGCUUUGGAAACCCCUGCACAGACUGUCUAUACAAGUAGGCACUAAACGAACUAGCAUAUUUAAUCACGACAAAGAUGAUACAAAAUGCACAAAUAAUUUGUUGAGCAGUGCCUGAUGUAAAAGAGGAAGGAGUUAGUUUCUGAAUCUGAAACCUCGUAUCACACAAAGGUAACGAGCACAUGAGGGCAGGAGUGUGACACACCUGUCACACACGUUACACACUGGCCAUGGGACUCAGGACAAGCAUGUGUGCUCUCUCAACUCAGUCUCCCCCUUGGUACAAAACAACACAGAGUGAAAGCUAAAGACCUGUCUGUAGUGAUUCUGCGCUUCUCUGGAGCCUUUUUAUGAAACUAAAAUAGUUGUUCUCUCUUAAAAACUCAAAGGAAAUCAACACUCUCUGGGCUCAGGCAGUUUUGCUGACCAGAAACUGUGGUUAUAGUACAGCAGUCUUGCAUCUCAGCCCCGGCUACAGAGUCAGACAGCCUCCAUCAGGUGACUUAAUGUCCCUGACUUUAAGUUGUUUCCCCUUAAAAAUAAGAAUAUUAAUACCUACCCCAGAGUGUUAUUGGGAGAACUAAAUGCUAAGGGAUGUGAACAAGUUUCUAGCCGAUCGCCUGGUACAAAAGAGGCACUUAGCACGCACUUUCCCUCUCCACUUCUCGUAAAUGUUCAGAAUAAUGGUGGAUGGUGGCAUCUUGGUUGGCAUCUGAGGCAGAAUUCUCGGUAUUAUCUGUUUGCAAGGAUCUGUGUGAGAUCGAACAGCUGUAAUCCCUGCCCCUAUAGUUCUCAUCCCGAUGUGAGGAAGAGUCAGGCAUUGACAGAAUCCCCUCAUGGAGCGCCCUCAGCACGGCCCGCAACACCAGCGAUUCCCGUUAAACCAACCGGUUCUCACCACAGCCUCCAAUACAGCACAAGUCAUUGAAGGAAACACUUUCCUUCGCUAGUUUGUAGGACUGAGCAAGUUUCUGCAACCCUUUAGCCUGGUUUUGGAUGACAUUUCAGGGACUCUGGAAGGCACAUGAGUGACACCACUUUUUCAAUGCAGGUAAUGUUCACAAGGAAAUUGACAGAUUGAGGCCCAGGACUGAUGCUCCUGCAUGAGCGACAGGACCCAGAUGCCCCACACAGAUGCUGUGGUGCAUGAGGUCCAGAGAUACAUGGAUACUCUCCCCUCCAGUCUGCCUCACGCUGCAAUCCGCGACACCAAUUCAGACAGUUCUUCACUCCUAAGGUCAGUCAUAUUUUCCCCCUAUACAUUUUUAUUACAACAAUUAAGUGUCUGAUUUUUACAUUUUAAUAUAAAUAAUAUUUCUAUUAGCCCCAUUGGCUGACUCUCUCUGUAAGUGAAAAUUUCACAAAAACAUUGUUUGUCUUCUUAACAGGAAGUUUAG